GACGAACGCUGGCGGCGUGCUUAACACAUGCAAGUCGAACGGAAAGGCCCUGCUUUUGUGGGGUGCUCGAGUGGCGAACGGGUGAGUAACACGUGAGUAACCUGCCCUUGACUUUGGGAUAACUUCAGGAAACUGGGGCUAAUACCGGAUAGGAGCUCCUGCUGCAUGGUGGGGGUUGGAAAGUUUCGGCGGUUGGGGAUGGACUCGCGGCUUAUCAGCUUGUUGGUGGGGUAGCGGCUUACCAAGGCUUUGACGGGUAGCCGGCCUGAGAGGGAGACCGGCCACAUUGGGACUGAGAUACGGCCCAGACUCCUACGGGAGGCAGCAGUGGGGAAUAUUGCACAAUGGGCGGAAGCCUGAUGCAGCAACGCCGCGUGCGGGAUGACGGCCUUCGGGUUGUAAACCGCUUUCGCCUGUGACGAAGCGUGAGUGACGGUAAUGGGUAAAGAAGCACCGGCUAACUACGUG
RNAcentral lists this ribosomal RNA (468 nucleotides) under uncultured bacterium. RNAcentral describes it as "partial 16S ribosomal RNA". It matches the Rfam family "Bacterial small subunit ribosomal RNA", at positions 28 to 507 of the family's 1533-position model. The record is from RNAcentral.